AUUGAACGCUGGCGGCAGGCCUAACACAUGCAAGUCGAGCGAGCGGCGUACGGGUGAGUAAUGUAUGGGGCUCUGCCCGAUAGAGGGGGAUAACUAACGGAAACGGUUGCUAAUACCGCAUUCUAUCGCAUGAACCCAUAUGGGUUUAGUUAGUGGGGGGGGUAAAGGCUUACAUAGGCGAUGAUCUCUUCCUGGUAUGAGAGGAUGACCGGCCACACUGGAACUGAGACACGGCCCAGAGUCCUACGGGAGGCAGCAGUGGGGAAUAUUGGACAAUGGGCGCAAGCCUGAUGCAGCCAGGCCGCGUGUGUGAAGAAGGCCUUAGGGUUGUAAAGUACUUUCAGCGGGGAGGCGUUACCCGCAGAAUAAGCACCGGCUAACUCCGUGCCAGCAGCCGCGGUAAUUC
This 406-nucleotide ribosomal RNA is filed under the name uncultured bacterium. Its description in RNAcentral is "partial 16S ribosomal RNA". It matches the Rfam family "Bacterial small subunit ribosomal RNA", at positions 30 to 526 of the family's 1533-position model. The record is from RNAcentral.